This is a small nuclear RNA of 164 nucleotides. Its record names the gene U1. It matches the Rfam family "U1 spliceosomal RNA". Rfam says of the family: U1 is a small nuclear RNA (snRNA) component of the spliceosome (involved in pre-mRNA splicing). The record is from Ensembl.
AUACUUACCUGGCAGGGGAAACACCAUGAUCAGGAAGGUGGUUUUCCCAGGGCGAGGUUCACCCAUUGCACUGCGGGUGUGCUGACCUCUGCGAUUUCCCCAAAUGCGGGAAACUCGACUGCGUAAUUUGUGGUAGUGGGGGACUGCGUUCGCGCUCUCCCCUG